AUGAUUUAGCUGUAAUUAUAGUAGAACAAGUUGGGAAGCUUGACGAUAGAGGGUGAUAGUCCCGUAUACGAAAUAAUCACAGUGGAACUAAGCAUACGAACAAGUAGGACGGGGCACGUGGAACCUUGUCUGAAUAUGGGGGGACCAUCCUCCAAGGCUAAAUACUCCUGAAUGACCGAUAGUGAACUAGUACCGUGAGGGAAAGGUGAAAAGAACCCUUAUAAAGGGAGUGAAAUAGAAUCUGAAACCGCUUGCAUACAAGCAGUAGGAGCAUGAUUUAGUCAUGUGACUGCGUACCUUUUGUAUAAUGGGUCAGCGAGUUAUUUUUAGUGGCGAGGAUAACUGAAUAAGGGAUCCGUAGCGAAAGCGAGUUUUAAUAGGGCGACUAGUCGCUAGGAG
This 399-nucleotide ribosomal RNA is filed under the name Francisella tularensis. Its description in RNAcentral is "partial 23S ribosomal RNA". It matches the Rfam family "Bacterial large subunit ribosomal RNA", at positions 312 to 709 of the family's 2925-position model. Lineage: Bacteria; Pseudomonadati; Pseudomonadota; Gammaproteobacteria; Thiotrichales; Francisellaceae. The record is from RNAcentral.